GACGAACGCUGGCGGCGUGCUUAACACAUGCAAGUCGAACGGUGAAGCGCCUUCCUUUUUGGUGGGUGUGGAUGAGUGGCGAACGGGUGAGUAACACGUGAGUAACCUGCCCCCUUCUUCUGGAUAACCGCAUGAAAGUGUGGCUAAUACGGGAUAUUCUGGGUCUGUCGCAUGAUGGGUCUGGGAAAGAUAUUGUUUCGGUGGGGGAUGGGCUCGCGGCCUAUCAGCUUGUUGGUGGGGUGAUGGCCUACCAAGGCGGUGACGGGUAGCCGGCCUGAGAGGGUGGACGGUCACACUGGGACUGAGACACGGCCCAGACUCCUACGGGAGGCAGCAGUGGGGAAUAUUGCACAGUGGGCGCAAGCCUGAUGCAGCGACGCCGCGUGAGGGAUGGAGGCCUGCGGGUUGUGAACCUCUUUCGCCAGUGAAGCAGGCCUGCCUCGUUUGUGGGUGGGUUGACGGUAGCUGGAUAAGAAGCGCCGGCUAACUACGUG
Molecule: ribosomal RNA, 494 nt
Filed under: uncultured bacterium
Lineage: Bacteria
Description: partial 16S ribosomal RNA
Rfam family: Bacterial small subunit ribosomal RNA
Source: RNAcentral